Polynucleobacter sp. is the source of this 83-nucleotide regulatory RNA element. It matches the Rfam family "SucA RNA motif". The record is from Rfam. Lineage: Bacteria; Pseudomonadati; Pseudomonadota; Betaproteobacteria; Burkholderiales; Burkholderiaceae.
UCGCAAUCUGUGCGUCGGUGGAGCCGAAGAGCAGAUGGUUUUCAACCCACUUCAUUUCGGAAUACCCGAGGAAAAGGUGAGCA